CAGUAGCGUAUAUUAAAGUUGUUGCAGUUAAAAAGCUCGUAGUUGGAUUUCUGGUACGCUGCGCCUGGCCCGCCCACGUUAGUGGUGUGAGUGUCGGUGCGCGGUUGCCAUCCUUCUAGAGAACGUGUCUACCUUUAAUUAGGCCGGGCUACGGGAUCUAGAUCAUUUACUUUGAAAAAUUAUAGUGUUUAAAGCAGGCUUUUUGCUAUGAAUACAUUAGCAUGGAAUAAUAAUAUAGGACUUUGGUUCUAUUUUGUUGGUUUCUAGGACUAAAAGUAAUGAUUGAUAGGGAUAGUUGGGGGUGCUAGUAUUCAGCGGCCAGAGGUGAAAUUCUUGGAUUCGCUGAAGACUAACUUAGCGAAAGCAAUUCACCAAGGAUGUCUUCUUUAAUCAAGAACGAAAAGUUGGGGGAGUCGAAGACGAUUAGA
This 428-nucleotide ribosomal RNA is filed under the name uncultured eukaryote. Its description in RNAcentral is "SSU rRNA". It matches the Rfam family "Eukaryotic small subunit ribosomal RNA", at positions 592 to 1012 of the family's 1831-position model. The record is from RNAcentral.